GUUGUUGUUUAUGUAAGAAUUUCAAGGCCACAACUCCAUAUUUGAAGUAAAGUGCUCAUAAAAUUAAUUGCAAGACUUCUGAAGAGAGAUUUGCUAGGAAAAAUAAAAAGAUAUAUAAAUUUCAGUGAUGCUGAAGGUUUUGAGAAGCCAUCUGCAGCUCACAACUAGAUGAGUGACACAAUCAGAUGUGCGUAUGCAAAAAAAAGCCUGGAGACAUUGAACUAAGAUCAAAUUUAAUGUAUUAAAUAUGGUAGAAAGAAGAGAGAAUGAAAAAUAAUGUUAACAAUCUAGGUGAGGAAUUGCUGAGGAGACAAAUUAAGUAAAUCCUGUGGAAGGAAAGAAGAAAGGAGGAAAGAGGAUUGGAUGGAAGAAUCUCCACUUCUCAUAGGUGUAGUCCUUCCUUAGCCUGCUUUUUAAUGAGUGCUGCUAAAGCCCUUAGCCUGCCUGUUUACCCUUGGAGUGGAGCAAUGAACUGAAGAUAUUUGAGUGAGUUCAAGAGAGACUCAGAAGAGAAGAAUUGGAGGCAGCAAACAUAGACAGCACUUUUAAUGCUUUUCUCAUAUGCUGUAAGACAUGAAAGCAAUCUAUUGGGAUGAAAGCUGAAAGGAGAAGCGGGACAAGAGAAGUGAAUCCGUGGAAGACCCCCAAAAGAGGCUGCAGAUUCUUAGUGGACAGCUCUCAUAUCCCCUCCAGGGAAAAUGAUGAAAAAUGUCUUCAGAAAAAUAGCUUUAUGAAGGCAAGAGGACUUUUUGCACCUGCAAGACAUGUCUGAAAGCUCCUCAGGUCAAAACACAAGUAGUCAAGAGAUUUGUCCAUCUAAUUCAUCAUACUACUCUGAUCCAAGUGAGACCCACACUGGGUCAGCUCCAUCAAGGAGAAGAACAUUCCACCCACGUUUGGAUUCUGGAAUAUCAUCCUUGCUUCCAUCAGAUUCUUGUAAGUACCUCACUUGGCACAAGGUAGACAUGACGUUCAAGGAAGUCAACUGCGUUGCCCAAGAGUAAGAGAAGGAAUCUCUGAAGAAGAGCAACUUUUCAGACAGGUAGAGUGUGCCUUGCUCCCAAGGAAAAGAGUUCUUGAAAAAAACAAAUGGGAAACAUGGCUACAAGAAAACUGGGAAGACUGCAAGAAAAUCUCAGAAUCUGCUUGAGAAUCCGGUCCUUCUUCCUCCAUACACCCAUGGAACACUCCCAAACUCUGUAUGCUGCUCACUAAUUCUGAUUAAGGUCUUCACCCUCCCUACCUUGGAAAUUGCUACAACAUAAUUGUGUUUAAUUUGAACAUUUCAUUUCAGGGUUUGGGGGAUCCUUACCAAGUUGAAAAUUUUAACAGAAUUCUUAGAAGACUAAUUCGAGUUGAAACCCUCUGGUUAGUGGAUAAUUCACUGGUGGACUUAAGUGCCAUAAGAUUGCCAAGGGAUUGCUAGAGAACCCCUUUUACAGGGAGCUGCUAUUUGCUUCAGCAGGCAGAAUGCGUAGGUGGAGUGAGCUUUGGUGGCAAUGAGAGGGGCCAACAGAGGUCCUCAGGAGUGAAUUAGAUGAAGGAAAUUGAGCAUCCACAAAAAGGAAAGUUACCAAGGAUACCUCAGAUACAGCAUUUAUCCUUGGCCGAAAACCACAUUGAGACUCUUACUGGAUUCUCCAGUUUACGGUGCACUCCACUGGAAUCCCUUAUUCUCAAGAGGAACCCUUAGUAUUCUCCUGUUUGCCAAACUUAAAAAUGCUGGAUGGAAUCUUGAAGCUACCAGAAGAUUGCUUAUCACCAGAAACCAAUAUUUUUUCAAAAAUAUGCCUUGUAUCCUAAUGCAGUCUGUAUAGAAAGAAAGCAAUCAUCAUUGUUGCUAAAAGCUAAUAAACACAGGACAUGCAUGAUUAAA
Molecule: long non-coding RNA, 1876 nt
Organism: Homo sapiens (human)
Lineage: Eukaryota; Metazoa; Chordata; Mammalia; Primates; Hominidae
Gene: LRRC77P
Product: leucine rich repeat containing 77, pseudogene
Source: Ensembl